CUUGUUGGAGAGGUAACGGCUCACCAAGGCAUCGACGGGUAGCUGGUCUGAGAGGAUGAUCAGCCACACUGGAACUGAGACACGGUCCAGACUCCUACGGGAGGCAGCAGUGGGGAAUCUUGCACAAUGGGCGAAAGCCUGAUGCAGCGAUGCCGCGUGCGGGAAGAAGGCCCUAGGGUUGUAAACCGCUUUCAGGAGGGAAGAAAAUGACGGUACCUCCAGAAGAAGGUGCGGCCAACUACGUGCCAGCAGCCGCGGUGACACGUAGGCACCAAGCGUUAUCCGGAUUUAUUGGGCGUAAAGAGCUCGUAGGCGGUUUGGUAAGUCGGGUGUGAAAACUCUGGGCUCAACCCAGAGAGGCCACUCGAUACUGCUAUGACUAGAGUACGGUAGGGGAGCGGGGAAUUCCUGGUGUAGCGGUGAAAUGCGCAGAUAUCAGGAGGAACACCAGCGGCGAAGGCGCCGCUCUGGGCCGUAACUGACGCUGAGGAGCGAAAGCAUGGGUAGCAAACAGGAUUAGAUACCCUGGUAGUCCAUGCCGUAAACGUUGGGCACUAGGUGUGGGUCUCAACCAACGAGAUCCGCGCCGUCGCUAACGCAUUAA
Molecule: ribosomal RNA, 604 nt
Filed under: uncultured Actinomycetes bacterium
Lineage: Bacteria; Bacillati; Actinomycetota; Actinomycetes
Description: bacterial SSU rRNA
Rfam family: Bacterial small subunit ribosomal RNA
Source: RNAcentral